Etheostoma cragini (Arkansas darter) is the source of this 100-nucleotide long non-coding RNA. RefSeq lists it as uncharacterized. The record is from RefSeq and is a predicted model, not a curated record. Lineage: Eukaryota; Metazoa; Chordata; Actinopteri; Perciformes; Percidae. The transcript has 5 exons.
AACCUUGGAGUCACUUUUUGACGCUCUUGGUCGGGACUCUUGGCGUCACUAUUUGACGCUCUGGGGACUCGUGUCCAGCCCUUUGGCGUCAUAUUUAGAC